GGGUGCGGGGCCGCUUGUUUUUCUUUGCGGUGCCGCAGGUUCAUGCGAUGGUCGGGCCGCCACG
Molecule: non-coding RNA, 64 nt
Filed under: Variovorax paradoxus
Lineage: Bacteria; Pseudomonadati; Pseudomonadota; Betaproteobacteria; Burkholderiales; Comamonadaceae
Description: Li+-I sequence
Rfam family: nhaA-I RNA
About the family: Acidobacteria, Alphaproteobacteria, Betaproteobacteria and Gammaproteobacteria, Verrucomicrobia, cand. division NC10. Downstream gene
Source: Rfam by way of RNAcentral